This 497-nucleotide ribosomal RNA is filed under the name uncultured bacterium. RNAcentral's name for it is "partial 16S ribosomal RNA". It matches the Rfam family "Bacterial small subunit ribosomal RNA", at positions 28 to 507 of the family's 1533-position model. The record is from RNAcentral.
GAUGAACGCUGGCGGCGUGCCUAAUACAUGCAAGUCGAGCGAACGGACGAUAAGCUUGCUUUUCUGAUGUUAGCGGCGGACGGGUGAGUAACACGUGGAUCACCUACCUAUAUGACUGGGAUAACUUCGGGAAACCGGAGCUAAUACCGGAUAAUAUUUUGAACCGCAUGGUUCAAAAGUGAAAGACGGUCUUGCUGUCUCUUAUAGAUGGAUCCGCGCUGCAUUAGCUAGUUGGUAAGGUAACGGCUUACCAAGGCAACGAUGCAUAGCCGACCUGAGAGGGUGAUCGGCCACACUGGAACUGAGACACGGUCCAGACUCCUACGGGAGGCAGCAGUAGGGAAUCUUCCGCAAUGGGCGAAAGCCUGACGGAGCAACGCCGCGUGAGUGAUGAAGGUCUUCGGAUCGUAAAACUCUGUUAUUAGGGAAGAACAGAUGUGGAAGUAACUGUGGACAUCUUGACGGUACCUAAUCAGAAAGCAACGGCUAACUACGUG